RNAcentral lists this ribosomal RNA (522 nucleotides) under Triticum aestivum (bread wheat). RNAcentral's name for it is "partial small subunit ribosomal RNA". Lineage: Eukaryota; Viridiplantae; Streptophyta; Magnoliopsida; Poales; Poaceae. The record is from RNAcentral.
AUGGAGUCGGCGCAGAAGAAGAAGGUUGGAUCCAUGGAGGUGGAGAUGCCUGGUGUGGUUCCUGUGAGCGCGACGGUGGCCGCUCUUCCGGCCGCUGUCAGAUUUGUCAGCCUUUGGGCGCUCGUCACCCCCUUCGUCUUGUUCCUCGUCUUCGGCGUUUGGGCGCUCCUCACCUCCGCACUGUCUAUGUUCUUUCCGCAGAAGGACGCGGAGGCGAGCGCCCUGGACGUCGGGAUCGUGUGCUGCGCCGCGCUCCAGGCGGCCGCGGCGGUGCUGGCUGUGCGGCUCCCGUGCCGCCGCGUCUGGGUCCGCUACGCCUUGGCCUACCUCGCCCUCGCGCUCACCAUCGCCGGCCACUUUAUGUACUUCGCCCAAGCAGACUGCUUCUCCAGAAUCACCUGCACCGUCGGCAUGUACGAGUACGCUGCGGGCGAUAUCAUCUGCUUCCUGGCCCUCCUCCUUGGCCCCCUCCUGGAAGCAUGCCAAGAUCGAGUACGUUGCCGAUUAGCUCAGCUAAGCUAG